GCAAACUUGGUCAUUUAGAGGAAGUAAAAGUCGUAACAAGGUUUCCGUAGGUGAACCUGCGGAAGGAUCAUCACUGAUUCGGGGGGUGCGCCACGCGGCGGCAGGUAACUGCUGGUGCGUGGUGUGUACUACCCAACCAAUCUUGUGUGAACCGUAACGAGCACACUGCGCGUGUGGUGGGAAGAGGUUGGUUGGUGUGUGGGGGGGAACGCGUGUGUACCGUUUGGGACACCCGCCGCCCCGCCACCAACCACACACCAUCAUGCGAGCACAAAUAUACUAUCUCCUUACAAUCUUGUCUAACACUACACACACACACACACACUAAAUUACACAACUUUUAACAAUGGAUCUCUUGGCUCUCGCAUCGAUGAAGAACGCAGC
This 384-nucleotide unclassified non-coding RNA is filed under the name uncultured fungus. RNAcentral describes it as "partial contains small subunit ribosomal RNA, internal transcribed spacer 1, and 5.8S ribosomal RNA". The stretch from base 1 to 73 matches the Rfam family "Eukaryotic small subunit ribosomal RNA", at positions 1759 to 1831 of the family's 1831-position model. Lineage: Eukaryota; Fungi. The record is from RNAcentral.